UACGUAGGGGGCGAGCGUUGGCCGGAUUUAUUGGGCGUAAAGAGCGUGUAGGCGGCCAGGUAGGUCUGCUGUGAAAACUCGAGGCUCAACCUCGAGACGUCGGCGGAAACCAUCUGGCUAGAGUCCGGAAGAGGAGAGUGGAAUUCCUGGUGUAGCGGUGAAAUGCGCAGAUAUCAGGAAGAACACCCGUGGCGAAGGCGGCUCUCUGGGACGGUACUGACGCUGAGACGCGAAAGCGUGGGGAGCGAACAGG
Molecule: ribosomal RNA, 253 nt
Filed under: uncultured bacterium
Lineage: Bacteria
Description: partial 16S ribosomal RNA
Rfam family: Bacterial small subunit ribosomal RNA
Source: RNAcentral